GACACGGUGGGCGGUGGAGGUUUCAUGCUCGCAGCUUCAUCUGGUUCMCAGUCCUCCAUGCCGCGGCUGGAGGAACCAUCCUGCCGUCUGUGAUGAGCUGGGCUGCAGGGCCCGUGAUAUAGGGAAAGGUCAAGUCUUGGUCUUCAAGAUCUUGAAGCGCUGUAUGAUGUCCUCGUGGCAUUUGACACAUCAAUGACAGCAAAAAUACUCAGUGUCAUGAGAAGUUUUUGUGUUCUGAUACAUCAUAACCGUAUUUCUCUUUUAAACACUACGAAAGACAGAAAAUACUCAUAGUCGUGUAGCCCCAGAGCUGUAUAUGUGUAUUGUCUUUGCACUUCUGAAAUAUUUUUUGACAGAAGUCAUUUCUUUAUCACUUUUUAAAAUCAUUUUUGCAUUUUUUCUGAAAACACMGCUGUAUAUUUUUCAAGGUGUAUCCACAUACCUGGUAGGUGCACGAGUAUAUCAGAUUUUAUAGCUUUAAGUGAUCUUUCAUGUCUCUGCUUCAGUCCCAUAUUCACUGUGCAUUUUGUUACUAGUAUUUCUCUGUCUGCAGUACAUGAUUACAUUAUUCAGGGUCAUACCUCUCCAUCUCCACCAUCCAUUCAGAGGCAAAUGGAACUGGGGAGAUGGUUAUUAAAACACAGAAAGCAGAGAAAUAAAAUUAACCGUAGCACCAGUUCUCURUGUGUCUCUGAAUACACGGAGGAAAUAAAAGGGCCUUGCACUUCUAAUAAAAUCUGGAUAUGAAUUGCCUCAUAAGAGUUUAAAUGAAUUAUAUUCAGAGGCCAAAAAGAGAAAAGAGAGAGCUCAGGGACCUCCUGCAGCACUCCGACGGCUCUCAUUGCCUUGAUGUGUAGCGCACUGAAACAUGCCAUAAAAACUUGAAAAUUGGGUGUCAUAUUUUGCUCAGAAAGCGAGCUUCGGGGUUGCUGAAAUGCUUGAGUCAUGCAUCUGCUGGCAGCUGAAGUCCUUCUCCGUGCAACGAUAGCCCCACCGAGAUCUCCAGAGCUCUUCCUAUCACAUCCGUCAGGCUCCACCACCGCUCCGGUUCCCGUGCAAGUCCUGUGUUGGUGGAGGAAGGACCAUAGGAUCAGCGGAGGCUCCCGAGCCCCAUGCGUGCCCCACUCCAAUCUUCCCAGGGUCCCAGGAAGGAUUUGGGGCGGUGUAGCCAGGAGUGUCAGACAUCCGAAGGAAGAGGGGAUUGCAGAACUGAUGUACUCCUGGUGAUGAAUAAUCCUUAGAGUAAACUCUUAUGAUCCAAGGCAGAUAGUUUAUUAUUAUUACCAUUAAUUCUAGUAGUACCAUGUCCAGAGAAGCAGAAUGUGAAGAUAGAUGAGUUUAUGACCUACAUAUUACAUGCUAGAUUUUUAUCUCAGUAAUAUGAGAAAAUCGAUCAUUUCGUUAAUGAAAAGACCAAUAAAAUCUCUAACUUCAGUGGAGCA
RNAcentral lists this long non-coding RNA (1442 nucleotides) under Dromaius novaehollandiae (emu). RNAcentral describes it as "lncRNA (ENSDNVG00000015119.1)". The record is from RNAcentral. Lineage: Eukaryota; Metazoa; Chordata; Aves; Casuariiformes; Dromaiidae.